AAUAUUGGGCAAUGGACGCAAGUCUGACCCAGCCAUGCCGCGUGCAGGAAGACGGCCUUACGGGUUGUAAACUGCUUUUGUAUGGGAAGAAAAAGUUCUUGCGAGAACAACUGACGGUACCAUACGAAUAAGCACCGGCUAACUCCGUGCCAGCAGCCGCGGUAAUACGGAGGGUACGAGCGUUGUCCGGAUUUAUUGGGUUUAAAGGGUGCGUAGGCGGUUUAUUAAGUCAGUGGUGAAAGUGUACAGCUCAACUGUAGAAGUGCCAUUGAUACUGGUAGACUUGAGUAUACUAUAGGCAGGCGGAAUUUAUGAUGUAGCGGUGAAAUGCAUAGAUAUCAUAAAGAACCCCGAUAGCGAAGGCAGCUUGCCGGAGUAUAACUGACGCUGAUGCACGAAAGCGUGGGUAGCGAACAGGAUUAGAUACCCUGGUAGUCCACGCCGUA
Molecule: ribosomal RNA, 446 nt
Filed under: uncultured marine bacterium
Lineage: Bacteria
Description: bacterial SSU rRNA
Rfam family: Bacterial small subunit ribosomal RNA
Source: RNAcentral